This 576-nucleotide ribosomal RNA is filed under the name uncultured bacterium. Its description in RNAcentral is "bacterial SSU rRNA". It matches the Rfam family "Bacterial small subunit ribosomal RNA", at positions 102 to 674 of the family's 1533-position model. The record is from RNAcentral.
ACGGGUGAGUAAUACAUCGGAACGUAUCCUGGAGUGGGGGAUAGCCCGGCGAAAGCCGGAUUAAUACCGCAUACGCUCUGAGGAGGAAAGCGGGGGACCUUCGGGCCUCGCGCUCAAGGGGCGGCCGAUGGCGGAUUAGGUAGUUGGUGGGGUAAAGGCCUACCAAGCCGACGAUCCGUAGCUGGUCUGAGAGGACGACCAGCCACACUGGGACUGAGACACGGCCCAGACUCCUACGGGAGGCAGCAGUGGGGAAUUUUGGACAAUGGGGGCAACCCUGAUCCAGCAAUGCCGCGUGUGUGAAGAAGGCCUUCGGGUUGUAAAGCACUUUUGUCCGGAAAGAAAUCAUCGGGGCCAAUACCCCUGGUGGAUGACGGUACCGGAAGAAUAAGCACCGGCUAACUACGUGCCAGCAGCCGCGGUAAUACGUAGGGCGCGAGCGUUAAUCGGAAUUACUGGGCGUAAAGCGUGCGCAGGCGGUGCUGUAAGACCGAUGUGAAAUCCCCGGGCUUAACCUGGGAACUGCAUUGGUGACUGCAGCGCUGGAGUAUGGCAGAGGGGGGUGGAAUUCCACGU